This 250-nucleotide ribosomal RNA is filed under the name uncultured Caulobacteraceae bacterium. RNAcentral describes it as "partial 16S ribosomal RNA". It matches the Rfam family "Bacterial small subunit ribosomal RNA", at positions 524 to 773 of the family's 1533-position model. The record is from RNAcentral. Lineage: Bacteria; Pseudomonadati; Pseudomonadota; Alphaproteobacteria; Caulobacterales; Caulobacteraceae.
UACGAAGGGGGCUAGCGUUGCUCGGAAUUACUGGGCGUAAAGGGCGCGUAGGCGGACAGUUUAGUCAGAGGUGAAAGCCCAGGGCUCAACCUUGGAAUAGCCUUUGAUACUGACUGUCUUGAGUACGGGAGAGGUGUGUGGAACUCCGAGUGUAGAGGUGAAAUUCGUAGAUAUUCGGAAGAACACCAGUGGCGAAGGCGACACACUGGCCCGUUACUGACGCUGAGGCGCGAAAGCGUGGGGAGCAAAC